This is a long non-coding RNA of Podarcis raffonei (Aeolian wall lizard), 4068 nucleotides long. RefSeq lists it as uncharacterized. Lineage: Eukaryota; Metazoa; Chordata; Lepidosauria; Squamata; Lacertidae. The record is from RefSeq and is a predicted model, not a curated record. The transcript has 2 exons.
CAGUAAAGCAGAGGGUGAGCUAAUGCAAAGAGGAAUUGAGCAGGAAGUGGAAAUGGUCUCUCAUGCACUGACAGCAUUGAGGAGUCCACUCACACAAUCCACUGCUGAAAGUGGGAAUGAGAGAAAAGAGGAGGGCCUUCUCCCAGGCUUCAGAAUCCCAUUAAAUUAUUCUUCAGGGGCGCCAAGAGCUCUAGCCAAUUCUCUGAAUUUAUACACUGAGCAACUAUUACCAUAACAAUGGAAUGGAUCCAUGUGCCAGGUGCGCAUGCCAAAUGCACAAAUCACGGUGUUGAUAACGUUGCUAUGUAUCAGCCAUAAGACAUGCUUUUAAAAAACACUACUUUUUGAAGCCUACUGUUCAACGCAACCAAGAGUCAGCCUUUAAUCCUUGUUGAGAAUAUUCCUGUCCCUGGAUGUUUUUUGCUCUCCUCACCCCCAUCGAUAAAAUCUGACAUGGUGCCUGUCCUGCAGAGUUCUAAUCCAUCGUUUGCAAAUAUGUGGAAAUCACAACUUCCCCUGAUUUGAGUUUGAGCUCAAAACGGUAGAAUCACCAUGAAUUUAGAAACUUAUUUUUAAAAAUACGUUUUGACAACCCUGCAAGUUCCCAGACACAGCUUUUUCCUGUUUUUCGGUAAUUUCCUCAAUGGAUAUCCACAGGAAAAGAAGGAAACAUGGAUGAAAACAGAAAACAACACUCGGAAAAGGGAAGCCACAGUGAUGGGAGGAAAACCUGAAAUAAAUGUAAUUCAAGCUACAAAUCACAGAGUAAGUGAAGGUGCCACCCACAUACACGUUUGCCCCAAUCUCCUCUGAAGACCCCUUGCAUUUGGAUUGCAACUGCUUCAUUUCAAACAAUGUUGGUGACAAGAAAACAGGAGCACAGCACAGACUGCAGUGAGUCACCUGCCGAAUCCCGCAUUAUUUUUCAAUGCAAAUUUUUUUCGAUGAAAUAAUAAUAAUAGAAAGGAACAUUACCGGAGUGCAAAGCUAUAGCUAAAACAUCAGUACUCAAAACAUCUGCCUGUUUACUCGAGCUCUUUGAAAAGUUAGGCUGGAUCAAAGGAUAGCUCAAAGGGUAUCAUUACUGUUAAACACCAACAACAGUUUGGCAAUAGGUUUUUCCCCCUCAGACUUAGAGAAAACAAAAACACUAAAAGCUAGGCCAUACCCAGUAUACCAGGGAGUACCUUAGUACAAAGGCUGCUCUGUCUUUGUGUAUCAAACCCACAAAUUCUGUGAAAAGGAAGCAAUUACAUGGCAAGAAUAACAAAGAUUCUGAACACAAAAUUAUUUAUUUGAUGCACUGACAAUCCCAAGGGCUCAGAGCAACAGUGACCAGAAUCCAAAGAACCAAAGGCAGUCUGGGUAGGUGGGGCCUGCCCAGGGUCACAUUCCUCUUCUAUACUUCACUGCUCUCCUGCCCAGACCUAAAGGUCAAAGCUCAAGCUAGGGAAUCUGUGUUUUCUAGAGAAAGUGGUUUCUUUUCAGGAGACAAAAUUAUUCUGACUGCUUGGAGCCCCAUCUUGUAUACUUAAAUACAGACCAUUAGUGAAAAUGACCAAAGUCUGCCAUAUUUUAGAGAGAGAGAGUUAUCUGGAUUUAUAAUUCCAUCCACAAUAUGGUACCCAUAUAUAUCCACGUGAGGUGCACCCCUCCAAGUUUACAUGUGUUAAAUCACCUCAGAUAAAUUUCUCUAAGCAAAAUAUAAUUGGUAGGCAGUCUGUUUAAGUAAGCUAUGGAGCUCAGCAACAACUGCUACAGAAAACAGACAACCAUUCUCUUGAAAUAAAAAAUGAAAUAAUGAAACAAACAGGGAAGGAAAAUCCAGCAAAGGACACUGAAUCUGAAUGCUAGGGGAAAUGUGCCGCUUUACAUUCAAUAUUUGCAACCACACCGCUGAAAAGUGUGAUUCAUUGCCACUAUUCCCUUUUCAAAUGGCUUUACCAGAUAUCAUAUAUCAUUCUGAAGUCAUUUAUCAGCUCCCAUUUUCUAAAGGGCAUAUUAUGAUCAAAACUACAGCAUUCGUCUAAACCGAUUCCCUUUACAAUUAUAAAAAACCUGAACUGCUACAUUUAAUGGGAUGCAAGUAUUUAUUAAAUCUACAGAGGGAGAAAAGGUUAUAGUACCGUGUGUGCUACAAUUUGGUUACUCUGGCCUUCUCUCCAGUCUAUAAACUAAUAUGUGGUGGCAAAUCUGAAUACCCUAUAACAUAUAUUCACGCUGAAUGAAUUUGCAAAAAAAUCCGACAAAUUAUGAAAAAUAAGUAAGCCACAGAUCUCCUAGCUGCUUUUAUAGGUACAUAGGAGAAAGGAAAACUUCAGCCCUUCCCUCCUCCUCAUUUUUCCAAUCUAAAUCAGCAACAGAUAUAAGUAUCCAUAUAUUUUUCUCUGUUAGCGAAUAGCAGUCUGCAGGGGUGGGGUGGGUAGGUUAGAGCAGCUCCCUCCCUCCCUCCCUCACAAACUGCCCUAGGAAGUAGAUUAGGGAGACUGGCCCACCCAGUGAGCUUCAUGGCUGUCAAGACUGAACCCAUAACCAUCUUUCAGGUCAGGAGCUGAACCAAUGAUUCACAUUCAAGGAAUCCAUGGAAACACAUCAAAGUCAAGAAGACUUGCCCUGCCACAAUUAAAAAAACAACAGAACUUUUAUUACCCUCUCCAGGAGGGUCCAGUGCCACCCUGGGUGGGGUGGGGGGCAAUGUAGACUAUGAGAAAUACUUCACUACCAGGAAGAUGUUCUCAGUUGAAGUUCUAGCGGUUCACCACAUGGGGAAGCCACACACAGAAGCAAACAUUGCCUGGUUCUACUCCCAAUUGCUGAGGAGGAAUAUCAACAAGGGUCUGUCACUCUAACCAGUACAUCAAAUGUGCCCUUCUUUGGGAUUUGGCAGAUUGAAUUUUGUUUGAAAAUGAGCUGUCUUUACUUACAUAGGGCUCACCCUAGCUUUCCAGGUGGCUUGUACAAUUCACAGAGUGAUAAAAAUAGAAACAACAAUCAAGAUUUUUAAAAAAUAUAUACACCACACAGCAGGAAUGUACAAUGAGAAAAUCAGCAGGAUCAUAAUAUCAAAUAAAAAGGCACUUUAUUUGGUGCAUAACAUUGCCUGUUCUACACCUUGCUCAGAGAACUAACACAGCAAUGGCUCUCCAUACCAAGCAAUAAUAUUCCAGAUGGUGAGGGAAGUGUCAGUUCUGCAAUUUAGUUUCUUCUAAAGUCAAAGAUGUUGUCAGUAGUGGGGGUUGGACAGCACAACAAAAGCUUCACUUUUCCCUCACACUUUACUUUAGAAUUUGAAUGUUAACGUUAAUAGGAUUCCAAGACAAAAGUCUCCUUGCAUCUGCAUCUCCUGCUAAUUAUUUGAGAGGUUCUUUUGCCCCAAAUAAAUUCCAACUUUUGGAAAAAAAACCAGCAUAUUCUUCAUCUACAGAACGAGUAAGAAAGGAGGCUACAGAAUAAGGAAAACCCACAGUGAGGCAAUUAUGUUGGAGAAAAGAUACAGUAGGGAUAAUAAUAAGAACAACAAAUGAAAUUACCAAAAGAGCUAAAUUAAAGGAAGUCAUGUAUCAGUCUAUGGUGUUGGUGAAGGGCUGCUGAUAUAUUAUCAGGUUAAUAGCUUGAGCAUUGUGAUCUGUGUUAAAGGCUGUUCAGUAAGCAAUUUUACAAGUUCAUGGAAUCUUCCCACUAUAGCUGUUCUAGCCAGCAUGAUACAACACUACAAGGACACAUAAAGUUUAAUGGCGGUGGAUGGGAACGUACAAAAUGGUGGCCCCAUACAGGAUGGAAAUCGGACAUAAGUUAUUUAUUUUUUGUUUCCAGCUUUACUUGCAUCAGGGGACACUAGACAGCCAGCUGUUCGUAGUUAUUAGCUGAAUAGACCGACCACUUCCUCUGUUUACAGUAUCAUAAUAAACCCAGACUGUGAUCUUAUACAUGGGGCUGGAGGGACCCAAAGGCACUUUUUUAAAAAAAGAAACUAUAUAUUAUAGAGCUUCCAGGCUGUUUCUUUCUUUUCAUGGUCCCACUGAAUAAUCAGAGUUAUAUUUACAGUCAAGAUUUGUAUUUAUUUAUUCA